GCUGCUGUAGCUCAGUGGUAGAGCACUUCAUUGGUAAUGAAGAGGUCAUGGGUUCAAGUCCCAUCAGCAGCU
Molecule: transfer RNA, 72 nt
Filed under: Blastopirellula marina DSM 3645
Lineage: Bacteria; Pseudomonadati; Planctomycetota; Planctomycetia; Pirellulales; Pirellulaceae
Also listed under: 3 other names
Description: tRNA-Thr
Rfam family: tRNA
About the family: Transfer RNA (tRNA) molecules are approximately 80 nucleotides in length. Their secondary structure includes four short double-helical elements and three loops (D, anti-codon, and T loops).
Source: RNAcentral